Molecule: ribosomal RNA, 536 nt
Filed under: uncultured bacterium
Lineage: Bacteria
Description: bacterial SSU rRNA
Rfam family: Bacterial small subunit ribosomal RNA
Source: RNAcentral
CUGGCGGCGUGCCUAACACAUGCAAGUCGAACGAGAAAGUGGAGCAAUCCAUGAGUACAGUGGCGUACGGGUGAGUAACACGUGACUAACCUACCCUCGGGUGGGGAAUAACUUCGGGAAACCGAGGCUAAUACCGCAUAACAUCUACGGAUCAAAUGCGCAAGCAGCUUGAGGAGGGGGUCGCGGCUGAUUAGCUAGUUGGCGGGGUAACGGCCCACCAAGGCAAUGAUCAGUAGCCGGCCUGAGAGGGCGCACGGCCACACUGGAACUGAAACACGGUCCAGACUCCUACGGGAGGCAGCAGUGGGGAAUUUUGCGCAAUGGGGGAAACCCUGACGCAGCAACGCCGCGUGGAGGAUGAAGCCCCUUGGGGUGUAAACUCCUUUCGAUCGGGACGAUUAUGACGGUACCGGAUGAAGAAGCACCGGCUAACUCUGUGCCAGCAGCCGCGGUAAUACAGAGGGUGCAAGCGUUGUUCGGAAUUAUUGGGCGUAAAGGGUGCGUANGCGGUGCGGUAAGUCUUCUGUGAAACCUCC